UACGUAGGGCGCGAGCGUUGUCCGGAUUUAUUGGGCGUAAAGAGCUCGUAGGCGGUUUGUUGCGUCUGCUGUGAAAACGCGGGGCUUAACUUCGCGCGUGCAGUGGGUACGGGCAGGCUAGAGUGCGGUAGGGGAGAUUGGAAUUCCUGGUGUAGCGGUGGAAUGCGCAGAUAUCAGGAGGAACACCGAUGGCGAAGGCAGGUCUCUGGGCCGUUACUGACGCUGAGGAGCGAAAGCGUGGGGAGCGAACAGGAUUAGAUACCCUGGUAGUCCAUGCUGUAAACGUUGGGCACUAGGUGUGGGGCCUUUCCGGGUUUCUGCGUCGUAGCUAACGCUUUAAGUGCCCCGCCUGGGGAGUACGGCCGCAAGGUUAAAACUCAAAGGAAUUGACGGGGGCCCGCACAAGCGGCGGAGCAUGCGGAUUAAUUCGAUGCAACGCGAAGAACCUUACCAAGGCUUGACAUACGCCGGGAUCAUGCAGAGAUGUGUGGGUCUUUGGACUGGUGUACAGGUGGUGCAUGGUU
Molecule: ribosomal RNA, 524 nt
Filed under: uncultured bacterium
Lineage: Bacteria
Description: bacterial SSU rRNA
Rfam family: Bacterial small subunit ribosomal RNA
Source: RNAcentral